UGCCAGCAGCCGCGGUAACACGAACUGCGCAAACGUUAUUCGGAAUUAUUGGGCGUAAAGAGCAUGUAGGCGGACUGUUAAGUCUGAUGUGAAAGCCCGGGGCUCAACCCCGGAAGUGCAUUGGAUACUGGCAGUCUUGAGUAUGGGAGAGGAAAGUGGAAUUCCGAGUGUAGGAGUGAAAUCCGUAGAUAUUCGGAGGAACACCAGUGGCGAAGGCGGCUUUCUGGACCAAUACUGACGCUGAGACGCGAAAGCGUGGGGAGCAAACAGGAUUAGAUA
Molecule: ribosomal RNA, 279 nt
Filed under: uncultured bacterium
Lineage: Bacteria
Description: partial 16S ribosomal RNA
Rfam family: Bacterial small subunit ribosomal RNA
Source: RNAcentral